GAUGAACGCUGGCGGUAGGCCUAACACAUGCAAGUCGAACGGCAGCACAGGAGAGCUUGCUCUCUGGGUGGCGAGUGGCGGACGGGUGAGGAAUACAUCGGAAUCUACUUUUUCGUGGGGGAUAACGUAGGGAAACUUACGCUAAUACCGCAUACGACCUACGGGUGAAAGCAGGGGACCUUCGGGCCUUGCGCGAUUGAAUGAGCCGAUGUCGGAUUAGCGAGUUGGCGGGGUAAAGGCCCACCAAGGCGACGAUCCGUAGCUGGUCUGAGAGGAUGAUCAGCCACACUGGAACUGAGACACGGUCCAGACUCCUACGGGAGGCAGCAGUGGGGAAUAUUGGACAAUGGGCGCAAGCCUGAUCCAGCCAUACCGCGUGGGUGAAGAAGGCCUUCGGGUUGUAAAGCCCUUUUGUUGGGAAAGAAAUCCAGCUGGCUAAUACCCGGUUGGGAUGACGGUACCCAAAGAAUAAGCACCGGCUAACUUCGUGCCAGCCGCCGCGGUAA
Molecule: ribosomal RNA, 506 nt
Filed under: uncultured bacterium
Lineage: Bacteria
Description: partial 16S ribosomal RNA
Rfam family: Bacterial small subunit ribosomal RNA
Source: RNAcentral